UACGAAGGGGGCUAGCGUUGUUCGGAAUUACUGGGCGUAAAGCGCACGUAGGCGGAUUGUUAAGUUAGGGGUGAAAUCCCAGGGCUCAACCCUGGAACUGCCUUUAAUACUGGCAAUCUCGAGUCCGAGAGAGGUGAGUGGAAUUCCGAGUGUAGAGGUGAAAUUCGUAGAUAUUCGCAAGAACACCAGUGGCGAAGGCGGCUCACUGGCCCGGUACUGACGCUGAGGUGCGAAAGCGUGGGGAGCAAACAGG
Molecule: ribosomal RNA, 253 nt
Filed under: uncultured bacterium
Lineage: Bacteria
Description: partial 16S ribosomal RNA
Rfam family: Bacterial small subunit ribosomal RNA
Source: RNAcentral